This 417-nucleotide long non-coding RNA is filed under the name Chinchilla lanigera (long-tailed chinchilla). RNAcentral describes it as "lncRNA (ENSCLAG00000025041.1)". The record is from RNAcentral. Lineage: Eukaryota; Metazoa; Chordata; Mammalia; Rodentia; Chinchillidae.
AAUUUUUGAAUUCAUUAUUCUCAAAUAUCAAAUGCAUAAAGGAAAAUAUAUUCUUUAAGCCAUGGUAUAAAACAGUGCUUCAAUUAAAUGUUUCUUAGAGCUUAGAAAAAAUUUCAGUUGUCCUCAUCUUUAUCCAGAAUUGCCCUGGAAGUACAGAAUGAAGAGCUGAGGAGACUGGCUUCUCAUGGCAGCAAGCUCCUUGAGGACAGGCUCAGGCACAGACCUGUGUGUGUAACACCCUGACUUCUCUCAGAGUACCACACACAACGUUUUGUACCAGCGUAUGUUUAAAGUAUUACCAUUAUGUAAGAACAAUGGAAUGGGAUUAUAUUGCACAAGUCAUUUUGAUUUCUCCUCUAAAAAGAAGUAGGGCUUUAACAGAUCAAGCAAGGAUCUGAUUUUCUUUCAGGAAUUAUC